RNAcentral lists this ribosomal RNA (253 nucleotides) under uncultured bacterium. Its description in RNAcentral is "partial 16S ribosomal RNA". It matches the Rfam family "Bacterial small subunit ribosomal RNA", at positions 524 to 776 of the family's 1533-position model. The record is from RNAcentral.
UACAGAGGGUGCAAGCGUUAAUCGGAAUUACUGGGCGUAAAGGGCGCGUAGGCGGUUAAUUAAGUUGGAUGUGAAAUCCCUGGGCUUAACCUAGGAACUGCAACCAAAACUGAUUAGCUAGAGUGUAGUAGAGGGUAGUGGAAUUUCCGGUGUAGCGGUGAAAUGCGUAGAUAUCGGAAGGAACACCAGUGGCGAAGGCGGCUACCUGGACUAACACUGACGCUGAGGCGCGAAAGCGUGGGGAUCAAACAGG